This is a non-coding RNA of Delphinapterus leucas (beluga whale), 734 nucleotides long. Lineage: Eukaryota; Metazoa; Chordata; Mammalia; Artiodactyla; Monodontidae. The record is from RefSeq and is a predicted model, not a curated record.
UCAGUUCUUUUCACCAGUGCUUGAGUUGAAUUAUAAUUUCCUAUCACAGGAAGCAGUAGGGAAUAAACAAAGAAUUGCUUAUUGGAUCCUAACCAAAUUUAAAUAUGUAAUUUUCCAUUAUACUGCAUUUGUUUUAAAGUUAACCAGGAGGGAAAAAUUCACACUGAAACACCGCUAAAACUAUAAAGUUCAAUAUCAACAGUUUUCCUUGACAACACAUUGACCACAAAAUCCCCAAGUGAACCAUAUUGAUGUUCUCACUAUUUUUUCCUAAAAUCCUGCUAAUUGUCAUGUUUUUCUUAUGAAAUAAAGCCUUCAUGGUGUUCUCUAAGCUUGUAAUACAAAUGCAUUUUAUCUUUCAUUUUGUACUAUGCUCCCGAAUCCAGUUCGGGAGGCAGCUCUUCAGUAAAUGUAUCUCUACUCUUCUCUCAUCACCUUACAUCUUGACCCUGGGAUCGGUUACUAGCUGGUUUCCUCACCUGCAGCCACCCAUCUCCACCCAAUCCAUCCUGCAAGCCACCACAAGAGUAAUCUUCCUAAAGGAUAACAUGACACUCUUCCUCAAAGACCUCCAAACCCAAGAGAUAAAUAUAAAAAUGUAACUGACUUCACAAGGAGCCACCAAGCUAGUGAAGAGGUGCUGGUUCCCAGGGCCUUGUGACACUGGUGAAUCUGCUGUGUUCUUAAACUGUAAACAGAAUCCAGCUCUAUUUACAAUAGCCAGGACGUGGAAG